GGGGUUGUGGCUCAGUGGUAGAGUGCUCACCUAGCACAUGUGAGGCCCUGGGUUCAAUCCUCAGCACCA
Molecule: transfer RNA, 69 nt
Filed under: Ictidomys tridecemlineatus (thirteen-lined ground squirrel)
Lineage: Eukaryota; Metazoa; Chordata; Mammalia; Rodentia; Sciuridae
Also listed under: 2 other names
Description: Spermophilus tridecemlineatus (thirteen-lined ground squirrel) tRNA
Rfam family: tRNA
About the family: Transfer RNA (tRNA) molecules are approximately 80 nucleotides in length. Their secondary structure includes four short double-helical elements and three loops (D, anti-codon, and T loops).
Source: Rfam by way of RNAcentral